RNAcentral lists this unclassified non-coding RNA (21 nucleotides) under Chlamydomonas reinhardtii. RNAcentral's name for it is "small RNA Cre_2750". Lineage: Eukaryota; Viridiplantae; Chlorophyta; Chlorophyceae; Chlamydomonadales; Chlamydomonadaceae. The record is from RNAcentral.
UCGUGAUCAUAUAGCCUGUGC